This 510-nucleotide ribosomal RNA is filed under the name uncultured Acidobacteriota bacterium. Its description in RNAcentral is "bacterial SSU rRNA". It matches the Rfam family "Bacterial small subunit ribosomal RNA", at positions 8 to 522 of the family's 1533-position model. The record is from RNAcentral. Lineage: Bacteria; Pseudomonadati; Acidobacteriota.
AGAGUUUGAUCAUGGCUCAGAAUCAACGCUGGCGGCGUGCCUAACACAUGCAAGUCGAGCGAGAAAGGGGGGGCAACUCCCUGAGUAAAGCGGCGCACGGGUGAGUAACACGUGGGUAAUCUGCCCUGGAGUGGGGAAUAACACCGGGAAACCGGUGCUAAUACCGCAUACGAUAGUGAGGUCUGCGGACUUUGCUAUGAAAGGAGCAAUUCGCUCUAGGAGGAGCCCGCGGCUGAUUAGCUAGUUGGUGAGGUAACGGCUCACCAAGGCUACGAUCAGUAUCCGGUCUGAGAGGACGGUCGGACACACUGGAACUGAGACACGGUCCAGACUCCUACGGGAGGCAGCAGUGGGGAAUUUUUGGCAAUGGGGGCAACCCUGACCAAGCAACGCCGCGUGGGUGAUGAAGUCUCUUGGGACGUAAAACCCUUUCGACGGGGAAGAAAACCGCAAGGUUUGACGGUACCCGUAGAAGAAGCCCCGGCUAACUCCGUGCCAGCAGCCGCGGUA